GAUGAACGCUGGCGGCAUGCCUAAUACAUGCCAGUCGAGCGAACAGACGAGGAGCUUGCUCCUCUGACGUUAGCGGCGGACGAGUGAGUACCACGUGGAUAACCUACCUAUAAGACUGGGAUAACUUCGAGAAACCGGAGCUAAUACCGGAAAAUAUAUUGAACCGCAUGGUUCAAUAGUGACAGACGGUUUUGCUGUCACUUAUAGAUGGAUCCAGGCCGCAUUAGCUAGUUGGUAAGGUAACGGCUUACCAAGGCAACGAUGCGUAGCCUACCCGAGGGGGUGAUCGGCCGCACGGGAACUGAGACACGGUCCAGACUCCUACGGGAGGCAGCAGUAGGGAAUCUUCCGCAAGGGGCGAAAGCCUGACGGAGCAACGCCGCGUGAGUGAUGAAGGUCUUCGGAUCGUAAAACUCUGUUAUUAGGGAAGAACAAAUGUGUAAGUAACUAUGCACGUCUUGACGGUACCUAAUCAGAAAGCCACGGCUAACUACGUG
This 497-nucleotide ribosomal RNA is filed under the name uncultured bacterium. RNAcentral's name for it is "partial 16S ribosomal RNA". It matches the Rfam family "Bacterial small subunit ribosomal RNA", at positions 28 to 507 of the family's 1533-position model. The record is from RNAcentral.